AAUCUACAAUACCUCCUUCGGUACCAUGCCUCCAUUUUUUUUCAUCCAUUGGAUGAAAAUGAUUAAAUCUCAGCCAUCCAAAAUGAAAAAAAAAAAAAAAAUUCAAAAAAAAAUUUUCUCGGGUACCUUCCCCUCCGGUUCCCCCCAUCUCUCCUCCUUUUCCCCUUUUUCCUCCCUAAUUUGCUGUCUUGCUCUCUUCCCAAGCCAACUUCCUCAGCUCACCCGUUUCCCGCCCCUCCAUAGCUGGGUGUCUCGCGCAUCCUCCAUAGCCGACUUCCUCAGCUCACCCAUUUGCCGACUUCCUCAUCUUUGUUUGCCGACUUCCUCCAUAGCUCACCCAUUUCCCGCUGUCAUCUUUGUUUUCUCUCCCUUUUCCCGUUUUUCUCUCCAGUGAUUGUCCACAGCUGGGUGAAGACCACGGUCGGCUUCAACCGGGCCAACCUCUUCGAGGCCGACGUCGCAGACCUUAUCAAAGACGUCUCCACAGCUAGGUGGAGACCACCUUCGCCGUCAGCCGGGAUCAAAGACGUCUUCACAGGUGGGUGGAGACCACCAUUGCCGUGAACCGGGCCAACCUCCUCCAAGUCGACGUCUUGACCUCAUCAAAGAAGUCUCCCUCAAGGAGCGCGAGCUCAGGAUUGUGGGCGAGGUCGGUGCCAAGAUCCGAGUCUUAGACUUCAUUUCUCCUGAUGUCCAGGUCAGCUAUUUUUUCUGCUAGAUUCUUCUUCUCGAAGAUUUUAUGUAAAUUUUCUGAAUUUUUGCUUUCUCUCCCCCCUACCCCUGCAUUUUUUCACAAGGAGAAUUUCUGUUCUUUCACACGGAGAAUUUUAGUGGAAUCUUCAUAACCCAUGUGUUUUCUUCAUAUUUUAUAUUUUGUUUAAGAGGUGUAAGGGGGUGUUUUCAGGUUCUAAAUUUAAUGGUUUAAAAACCCGAAUUGAAGACGUAGCUGGAAGAAGAAGAAGAGGACGUGUAGUACUAAGGAAAAGAAAGCUGAGAAGGACACAAUUGUUUGUUACUCAAAAGGCGCUUGUAUCCUAAUUAUUUGGCGAGUUCUAUAUAAAGGGAAAAAAAUGAGCGAAUGCGAUGGUCUUGAAGUUAUUAGAAAUCCAAAGAGGCCUAUCGGCGCUUGGAUACAUUACUAUAACGAUCAAUUAGCCAUGAUGAAAGAGAAGGA
Vitis vinifera (wine grape) is the source of this 1174-nucleotide long non-coding RNA. RefSeq lists it as uncharacterized. The transcript is spliced from 3 exons. The record is from RefSeq and is a predicted model, not a curated record. NCBI's taxonomy places the organism in Eukaryota, Viridiplantae, Streptophyta, Magnoliopsida, Vitales, Vitaceae.